GAUCUGGCUCAGGAUGAACGCUAGCGACAGGCCUAACACAUGCGAAGUCGAGGGGCAGCAGGGUAGCAAUACCGCUGGCGACCGGCGCACGGGUGAGUAACGCGUAUGUAACCUACCCAUAAGUGGGGGAUAGCCCAGCGAAGGCUGGAUUAAUACCGCAGUAAUACUGGUUGAUGACAUCUGAUGCCAGUUAAAGAUUUAUUGCUUAUGGAUGGACAUGCGUCUGAUUAGCUAGUUGGCGGGGUAACGGCCCACCAAGGCGACGAUCAGUAGGGGUUCUGAGAGGAAGGUCCCCCACAUUGGUACUGAGACACGGACCAAACUCCUACGGGAGGCAGCAGUGAGGAAUAUUGGUCAAUGGGCGGAAGCCUGGAACCAGCCAAGUCGCGUGAAGGAUUGAAGGUAUUAUGUAUUGUAAACUUCUUUAGCAGUGGAGUAAUAAGGAGCUCGUGAGCUUCGAUGCAAGUACACUGAAAAUAAGGAUCGGCUAACUCCGUGCCAGCCGCCGC
This 509-nucleotide ribosomal RNA is filed under the name uncultured bacterium. RNAcentral's name for it is "bacterial SSU rRNA". It matches the Rfam family "Bacterial small subunit ribosomal RNA", at positions 15 to 518 of the family's 1533-position model. The record is from RNAcentral.